UACGUAGGGACCAAGCGUUGUUCGGAUUUACUGGGCGUAAAGGGCGCGUAGGCGGCAAUUCAAGUCAUCUGUGAAAUCUCCGGGCUUAACCCGGAAAGGUCAGCUGAUACUGCAGGGCUAGAGUGCAGAAGGGGCAACUGGAAUUCUCGGUGUAGCGGUGAAAUGCGUAGAUAUCGAGAGGAACACCUGCGGCGAAGGCGGGUUGCUGGGCUGACACUGACGCUGACAGCGCGAAAGCUAGGGGAGCGAAGCGGG
This 255-nucleotide ribosomal RNA is filed under the name uncultured bacterium. RNAcentral's name for it is "partial 16S ribosomal RNA". It matches the Rfam family "Bacterial small subunit ribosomal RNA", at positions 524 to 777 of the family's 1533-position model. The record is from RNAcentral.